GAUGAACGCUGGCGGCGUGCCUAACACAUGCAAGUCGAACGGGGACAGACGGAAACCUAGUGAAGUCUGUCCGAGUGGCGGACGGGUGAGUAACGCGUGGAUAACCUGCCGCAUGCAGGGGGAUACCGGCUGGAAACAGCCGCUAAUACCGCAUAAGCGCACGGUGCCGCAUGGCAGAGUGCGAAAAGGAGAAAUCCGGCAAGCGAUGGAUCCGCGUCCGAUUAGCCAGUUGGCGGGGUAAGGGCCCACCAAAGCGACGAUCGGUAGCCGGCCUGAGAGGGCGGACGGCCACAUUGGGACUGAGACACGGCCCAG
This 315-nucleotide ribosomal RNA is filed under the name uncultured bacterium. RNAcentral describes it as "bacterial SSU rRNA". It matches the Rfam family "Bacterial small subunit ribosomal RNA", at positions 28 to 334 of the family's 1533-position model. The record is from RNAcentral.